AGGGCUGUAGCUCAGUGGUAGAGCACCUGGCUUUGCAUGCAGAAGGUCCCAGGUUCAAUCCCCAGGAUCUCUG
Non-coding RNA from Podarcis lilfordi (Lilford's wall lizard), 73 nucleotides. NCBI's taxonomy places the organism in Eukaryota, Metazoa, Chordata, Lepidosauria, Squamata, Lacertidae. The record is from the annotation of a GenBank genome assembly.